GAUGAACGCUGGCGGCGUGCCUAAUACAUGCAAGUCGAGCGAACAGACGAGGAGCUUGCUCCUCUGACGUUAGCGGCGGACGGGUGAGUAACACGUGGAUAACCUACCUAUAAGACUGGGAUAACUUCGGGAAACCGGAGCUAAUACCGGAUAAUAUAUUGAACCGCAUGGUUCAAUAGUGAAAGACGGUUUUGCUGUCACUUAUAGACGGAUCCGCGCCGCAUUAGCUAGUUGGUAAGGUAACGGCUUACCAAGGCAACGAUGCGUAGCCGACCUGAGAGAGUGAUCGGCCACACUGGAAGUGAGGCACGGUCCAGACUCCUACGGGAGGCAGCAGUAGGGAAUCUUCCGCAAUGGGCGAAAGCCUGACGGAGCAACGCCGCGUGAGUGAUGAAGGUCUUCGGAUCGUAAAACUCUGUUAUUAGGGAAGAACAAAUGUGUAAGUAACUAUGCACGUCUUGACGGUACCUAAUCAGAAAGCCACGGCUAACUACGUG
Molecule: ribosomal RNA, 497 nt
Filed under: uncultured bacterium
Lineage: Bacteria
Description: partial 16S ribosomal RNA
Rfam family: Bacterial small subunit ribosomal RNA
Source: RNAcentral